RNAcentral lists this ribosomal RNA (180 nucleotides) under uncultured Glomeromycotina. RNAcentral describes it as "partial small subunit ribosomal RNA". The record is from RNAcentral. Lineage: Eukaryota; Fungi; Glomeromycota.
GAUCUAGUUGGAUGGUCUGCCUCACGGUGUGUACUGUCUGACUGGAUCUUACCUCUUGGUGAACCGGCGUGCCCUUUAUUGGUGUGCGUUGGGGAACCGGGACUUUUACCUUGAGAAAAUUAGAGUGUUCAAAGCAGGCAUAUGCCUAAAUACAUUAGCAUGGAAUAAUAAAAUAGGACG